UGUGGUAGAUAACAUCUGUCAUAAACCAUCUAAAACAUCAACUUCCUACGCAAUACGAGUGGGUGAAUUCUUUUAGGAAAUGAACGACUCCCUGUGGUGCUUUGCUUGGAACCCUUUACAAAGUCAUCGAAAAUUGACAGAUCGGUGGAAUGUUAUGACGCAUCCUCAACCUCGCGCGUCUUUAUGAAGGUCUCUAGAGUUGUGGAGCAAUAUUGCAAUCCUGUCCAGAAGCAUAUUUUUCAAGGCACGGAUCUCGGAGUUAGGGGUUGGACGUAAACUGGAUUGAUAUACAAGUACAGCACUCUCUCCUUGACACAUACGCUGUAUGCGCUAUAGACGAAUACGCACUUCAGAUGCGGCAUGGAACGAAAUAUUCCAGUUGUGUAUGGAAAUAUUUGAAUGAUUACAAGGUCAUUUCUUCGUCAACAGAUAAAGUUUUCGAACGACGACGUUCGGAAAGGCCUAAUGGUGUGUGUACGUUGGCAUCGAUUGAAAAGCGUCAUUCAUGGUGACGCACACGCGAGGAUUUUGAAAUGACACCAACUCACGUGACUUGUGGACGAGUAUAAAUAAUCAUGGAGAGUGUUGCCUUUAAGCCAGUUCUGUCGAGUCCUUCUCUCUUCGCCAACUCUUCCUUACUAAUAUCUGUACUCAAGCCAAUGUGUGCUUUUCAGACUUUGAUUAUUCUGACCACGUUGGUGGUGGUUAGCAUCUCCAAUGCUCAUUUGCUUCCACAACCAUCCCACCAGUCGUUCAUCCUGAAGCGGCAAGAUCUCUUCAGUGUAUCUGUCAAAAGCAAGCGAUCGCUAGAAGACGAGGUCCAACUCUCCGAUUCUUUGCUCCUUGCCCGAUCUCAUAUUGGCUUCAAACAAUCCGUGUCUUUGCCGAACUUGAAGGCAUCCACAAAUCAUCAUUCCGUUCCAAAAAGAAGUUUGAGCAAACGUUCAGCUCUGCCAGUGGCUCCGUAUCGAGGCCACAAUUUCCAAAGAAACGUCCAACUUAGACAAAGGCCCAUCAAAAAUCGGUCUCGAUACUAUAGUACACAAGCUCAUCUCAUCCGACCUCGGACUUCCCCAGAACAAGAGACAGUUACAGUGCCUCGUUAAGCUUAGAAGACAUAGAUGACCACGUCGACCCAAUGGAGGAUAAGAAUGGAAAGGGUCAAUUUAUAUAUCCCGUGCCUUUGUUAUAUGAAGUUCAAGAUCGAGCUAGCAACCCUAGAAUGUUCAAAAGACAACAGAUAAGUGAAGUUUGAGAGGAUGUUUAUUGUCUGCUUUGCGCUAAAUCUUGAAAUAUAUGCAUGAACAAGUA
RNA transcript from Tigriopus californicus, 1311 nucleotides. RefSeq lists it as uncharacterized. The record is from RefSeq and is a predicted model, not a curated record. The transcript has 4 exons. NCBI's taxonomy places the organism in Eukaryota, Metazoa, Arthropoda, Copepoda, Harpacticoida, Harpacticidae.